Long non-coding RNA from Poecilia latipinna (sailfin molly), 156 nucleotides. RefSeq lists it as uncharacterized. The record is from RefSeq and is a predicted model, not a curated record. NCBI's taxonomy places the organism in Eukaryota, Metazoa, Chordata, Actinopteri, Cyprinodontiformes, Poeciliidae. The transcript is spliced from 3 exons.
UAGUGCAAAUAUCUUAGUGCACUUGAAAUAAAACAAAAUAAACUUAACUUUUUAGCAGGAUGUGGGAGCUUGUUUUAAGUAAAUAAUUCCUUAAUAUUGAUGAAAAAGUUCUGGUUCCACUGGCAGAUAAUUUAACUUAUAAGAUCAUAAAUGAUA